RNAcentral lists this microRNA precursor (99 nucleotides) under Heliconius melpomene (postman butterfly). RNAcentral describes it as "microRNA MIR158". The record is from RNAcentral. Lineage: Eukaryota; Metazoa; Arthropoda; Insecta; Lepidoptera; Nymphalidae.
AUCCCUAAUUUCCGUUUAACUUUGGAGAUGGUGGUGGGGAGUGGUCUUAACCACUCCCCACCACCAUCUCCAAAGUUAAACGUACUGUAAUUGAAUGAU